GGAGGAGUACCCAAGUGGCCAAAGGGAGCAGACUGUAAAUCUGUUACAUGAUUGUUUCAGUGGUUCGAAUCCACUCCCCUCCACCA
Molecule: transfer RNA, 86 nt
Filed under: Clostridium sp.
Lineage: Bacteria; Bacillati; Bacillota; Clostridia; Eubacteriales; Clostridiaceae
Description: tRNA-Tyr
Rfam family: tRNA
About the family: Transfer RNA (tRNA) molecules are approximately 80 nucleotides in length.
Source: RNAcentral